This 253-nucleotide ribosomal RNA is filed under the name uncultured bacterium. Its description in RNAcentral is "partial 16S ribosomal RNA". It matches the Rfam family "Bacterial small subunit ribosomal RNA", at positions 524 to 776 of the family's 1533-position model. The record is from RNAcentral.
UACGAAGGGGGCUAGCGUUGCUCGGAAUGACUGGGCGUAAAGGGCGCGUAGGCGGAUUGUACAGUCAGGCGUGAAAUUCCCGGGCUCAACCUGGGGGCUGCGCUUGAGACGUGCGAUCUUGAGUGGGGAAGAGGGUCGUGGAAUUCCCAGUGUAGAGGUGAAAUUCGUAGAUAUCGGGAGGAACACCAGUGGCGAAGGCGGCGACCUGGACGGACACUGACGCUGAGACGCGAAAGCGUGGGGAGCAAACAGG